This 423-nucleotide ribosomal RNA is filed under the name uncultured bacterium. RNAcentral describes it as "bacterial SSU rRNA". It matches the Rfam family "Bacterial small subunit ribosomal RNA", at positions 358 to 772 of the family's 1533-position model. The record is from RNAcentral.
GGAAUAUUGCGCAAUGGGCGAAAGCCUGACGCAGCGACGCCGUGUGAGGGAAGAAGGCCUUCGGGUCGUAAACCUCUGUCAGAAGGGAAGAACCCCCAAGGUUCGAACAGGGCCUUGGGCUGACGGUACCUUCAGAGGAAGCACCGGCUAAUUCCGUGCCAGCAGCCGCGGUAAUACGGAAGGUGCGAGCGUUAAUCGGAAUCACUGGGCGUAAAGCGCGCGCAGGCGGCUUGGUAAGUCGGAUGUGAAAGCCCUCGGCUCAACCGGGGAAUUGCAUUCGAAACUGCCUGGCUGGAGUCCUGGAGAGGGUGGCGGAAUUCCCGGUGUAGGAGUGAAAUCCGUAGAUAUCGGGAGGAACACCAGUGGCGAAGGCGGCCACCUGGACAGGUACUGACGCUGAGGUGCGAAAGUGUGGGGAGCAAA